GUAGUCAUCUACAGAGUAGAAAUACUUCUCUGUGGGUUUACAUUCCUCCUCCUCGCUGCCUUUCUGGGAGUUCUCGCACAUGAUGACGCAAAAUGACUCCCAGUUUUAUCUAGGCAGAGGGGGAUGCUUGUAGCUGUGGUGGAUUCUGACGUAGCUUUGGGCUUGCAGGAAUGUCAUUGGUGUGCUAAGUCUUCUCCUGCUUUGCCUGCCUGCCAGUGAAGGGAAGGCUGAAUGCUAAGGAUGUUUCCUUCCUCCUCCCCAAAUGCAAAGGGCAAAGAGCUGUUACCCCUUGCCCAAGGUUCUGCUGUGGAGCUGUGGUGCGCAGCCUCCACCUUAGCCUAGUUCUAGUGCUCCCUAAUUCCUUAUGUUUACGUUGGCCUGGAAAGGUGGUGUAGUGAAGCAGCUGUACUUGGUCAACCCCCCUUUCUCUGCCCCUUAAGGGACCCUGUUGUGGAACAUGGGAAUGGUGUGGCAGGCUCAUUGCUCCUUUGUUCGCCAGUAGGUCAGGCAGGAAGGAAAAGAAGUUGGGGGACUGCCUUGUAUAAAUCCCUCUUGCCAAAGAUCCUACGAUUAUUCAGAUUGCACUACAGAUGAGUAAUUCAACUUUUUUUCUGGUGGCUUUAUCCUGCUUUGCUUUCAACUCUCUUCUGUGAUGCCCCUGGCCAGCCGCUGGAUGGCAUCAUUGCCUGGAGCUCACUUACAAAAUGACCUACUUCAGCGAUGAAAGGCUUGUUUGUGCGAAGCAGCACGACAUGGACCAGUGGUGGCCUGUUGGCUGGCUCUGCUUCCCUGAAAAUGGAGGUCACCCAAAAAGAAGCUUGACUGACUUUGCCAGUGCCAAUAUGAGCUACUUCUGUCUCAUGGAAUAGCUGCCAGCUCUGCGUUGAAGCUCAGUGGGAGGCUCGGUGUAAAGCCAAGGUAGGGGGUCCUGGCUUCUUAGGUAACCUUCCCUACAGCUCCUUCAUCAGCCUCGACUGUCAGCCUUGUGGGCCAGCUGGCUCUGGAAGUGUUCCUGUGGUUUGAGAGGCAGAUGAGGAGCACAGUGCCAGCCUGAGCUCUGCCAAGCACUAGUGAGAAACCAGCCCCUGAGAGCACAUGGAGCUGCCAAAGAAGAGGUCAGAGAAUGAAAGCGUGCUCAUAGUGCGUGCUGUGCUGUGCUCUGUGGUGCCCAAAUGCCAGGGCACAGCUAGUGAUGCUGUACAGUCUAAAGGCUUCAGGCCAGCCGGUCUAACCACAGUACAUUUUUCGUCUUGCUUUCUUGGUGUGGCUAUUUAACAUGGGUCAACAGUUCUGCAUUUAUGGGACUGCCAUGUAAGGUCUCAUUGAUAGAGCUCAAAAUUCUGAAUGCGGACGAGUGUUGGGCUGAAUGCGGGCGAGCUGUUUCUCCCGGAUAGUUCCAGCAGUGAUCCCAAAGCUGAUGUUACCUUAUGCCUCCUCCACGUUUCAGUAGCUGAACGUUACCUCUAUAUGCUUAUCUGGUUGGUUACCAGCCCCAAAGGAAGAUGCUGCCAUAUUGACUCUAUGGAGAAAAACCUCUUCCCUCCCUACUUCCCCUAUGAUGGGAUUUGUAAAGGUGGCUCCAUAAGGUGGUCUCCUAUCCUGGGUAUUCUCAUGGUUUGACCGGUUCCAGGUGUUUGCACUGGCUCUCCAGCACUGACCUUCCCUUGUAAAGGGAGAUGAGAAAGAGUCCAAAGGAGAAUUGUUGCUCAUCUUGAAUUCCAGUCCAUGCAGUGACUUUGGGUCCAGUGUAGAGCUGGUGAGAGCAGUGCAGCCAAGCUGACUCUACCAUGCAUCUGCCUGGAGCAGCUUUCAGAGAGCCAGAUGCAUUUCUGAGCGUACACAGUAGCUGCAGAGCUUUUUGGAGGCUUCUGAGCUAGGGGGUAAGCUAAUCACUAGGGUCAACCUUAAAGUUGCGUCUCCCUGGCUAAAACAAUGCACUGUCUGAAUUACAAGUUACUUAGUUUUGCUGUACAUCAGAAAUGUAGCUGCACCAUUGCCCGGUAAUUUCCUGUCUGCAAUCAAGGCUUUCACAGGGGCCUGUGGACCUUGGCUAAAGAAUACUAAAAGAUACAGGUUAUUCUUGUGGGGAGAAAAUGUUACCUUUCUUGGAGAAUGUAACCUUCCCCUACAUCUCUGAGAAAAAAAAUCUUAGAUGUUUUUGAGCUUCUGGCGUCUUACAGGAUCUGCAAAACGAAGGAGCCAGCCGAAUAACUCGCUUUACCAUAGAUGAGUCCACCGUGUCCAUUUGAGACAAUAUGACACAGACCUGACUCAAGCCCAAGAUGAGAGGCUUGGCUUGGUGUCCCAGUGUGUCUCUCCUUGGAUUCUCUCUGUGCUGGUGGUCUAUACCAGCUAUCUCUGAGGGAGGUCCAAGAAAUUCUGCGGUUAGCAGCUGCAGGACAAACCUCCCCUUGGGAAAUCUCUUUCUAACUCGUUGCCCUUGGUGGUAGUGUUUACAUUGCUCAAAACCUAAAACAUGAAUGUGUUGGUUAAAUAGCGGUAGAUGGUGUUCUUGUUGAAAUGAAUAGAAGUGAAUUUCUUCCCCAGCACACAGUAAUAGACACUUCCUUUUUAUUUCUUGUUUGGGGAGGUUUUGUGGGGUUUUUGGUUUUGGUUUUCUUUUGGUUACAAGUGAAGCUCUAAUGCAGUUUGAGUCAUCUGUAGGAUUUUUAAUGCACAAUACUUGAAUUUAGGAGCUGACUUCAGAUAGUGAGAGUCUUCUUGGUCUCACUAUUCCUAUUGCAGCAGCUGAAAAUCUCAGCAUCACAGCUAUCAUCGAGAGAAACUGAGGGCUUUGAAGUAUAGAUGAAGCAAAAAUAAUCUUGUCCUCCGUGAAUCUCCCCUAAUUGAGAUCGGUUAUUCAGUACCCUCAAAUGCACACGAGCUGCAAAGGCUUACCGCUGACGCAGCUCUGCAAAACCCGCCAUGCGCUUCUAACCGUACAGCACUCGUGGAAAAGUAAAACGUCAGCGUGGCAACCUAGAGCGGCUCUACCAACAUGAGGAAUUAAUUUGAUAUUUCUCAUGAGUGAGCAGAAACGCAGGGUGUUGCUCUGCCUUUUCCUGUCCAGGGAGAUGGACGGACCCUGGGGGAGCCUGAUGC
Long non-coding RNA from Rhea pennata, 3102 nucleotides. RefSeq lists it as uncharacterized. Lineage: Eukaryota; Metazoa; Chordata; Aves; Rheiformes; Rheidae. The record is from RefSeq and is a predicted model, not a curated record. The transcript is spliced from 3 exons.